CUUCCACCUGCUAAUAGCAUCUUAUUGCUUUUCAGGAUUAAAUAAAAGGAAAUGAGCUGUUUAAUUACAGUCAGAGAAAUUUUGCAGUGUUGUUCUGCCUUGGAUGGUGACAGCAAUGCUGAAAUGUGUUUAAGGACACGGCUAUAUGAACUGAUGGCUUCAGAGCCCAAGUCAGCUGGAUUUUGAAGCAGCAGCGAUGCACCGUAGCCCCCAUGGAGAUGUCAAAAAGAAAAGUGAGAGAGAGCCGCCAAACUUCACAAAUUUGUGUUUUUCAUCAGUAGGUUCUCCUGCACAAAGACAAAACAGAAAGCUCUCCUUAGAGGGAAGACGAAGAUGGGGAUCUUUCACUUCUGGAAUAGGUGAAGCCCAGAUCAGGCAAUGGUCUCAUGGUUUUUGA
This 397-nucleotide long non-coding RNA is filed under the name Cyanistes caeruleus (blue tit). RNAcentral's name for it is "lncRNA (ENSCCEG00000003044.1)". Lineage: Eukaryota; Metazoa; Chordata; Aves; Passeriformes; Paridae. The record is from RNAcentral.